This 490-nucleotide ribosomal RNA is filed under the name uncultured bacterium. RNAcentral's name for it is "partial 16S ribosomal RNA". It matches the Rfam family "Bacterial small subunit ribosomal RNA", at positions 30 to 507 of the family's 1533-position model. The record is from RNAcentral.
AUUGAACGCUGGCGGCAGGCCUAACACAUGCAAGUCGAACGGUAACAGGAAGCAGCUUGCUGCUUCGCUGACGAGUGGCGGACGGGUGAGUAAUGUCUGGGAAGCUGCCUGAUGGAGGGGGAUAACUACUGGAAACGGUAGCUAAUACCGCAUAAUGUCGCAAGACCAAAGAGGGGGACCUUCGGGCCUCUUGCCAUCGGAUGUGCCCAGAUGGGAUUAGCUUGUUGGUGGGGUAACGGCUCACUAAGGCGACGAUCCCUAGCUGGUCUGAGAGGAUGACCAGCCACACUGGAACUGAGACACGGUCCAGACUCCUACGGGAGGCAGCAGUGGGGAAUAUUGCACAAUGGGCGCAAGCCUGAUGCAGCCAUGCCGCGUGUAUGAAGAAGGCCUUCGGGUUGUAAAGUACUUUCAGCGGGGAGGAAGGGAGUAAAGUUAAUACCUUUGCUCAUUGACGUUACCCGCAGAAGAAGCACCGGCUAACUCCGUG